RNAcentral lists this transfer RNA (72 nucleotides) under Phrynosoma platyrhinos (Desert horned lizard). RNAcentral's name for it is "tRNA-OTHER". The record is from RNAcentral. Lineage: Eukaryota; Metazoa; Chordata; Lepidosauria; Squamata; Phrynosomatidae.
GCCAGCAUGGUGUAGUGGUUUGAGUGUUGGACUACCACUCUGGAGACCUGGGUUCAAUUCCCCACUCUGCCA